GGGGCGGGGCGGGGGCCGGCCUGGCUAGGCAGCGGGCGGAUCCCAAACGGGGGGAGGCGGAGGGCGCAGGGGCGGCUAAGCCGAGCUAAGCACGACUUCGCCCGACGAGGCCGGGCGGCGGCCGACGGCGAGGGGGGCCGCCCAGGAGGCCAGUCGGCGGCGGCGCAGCCCUCGAUCCCAUAGCCGAGCGGCGUAACCAACCGCGCGCGUACCGGUACCACGGGUUGCCCGAGGACGGGUUACGCAGCCGCCCCCACUGCGCCGCGGAGCUGGGGCUGGCGACCCGGCAGCGGCUCAGGGCCUGGCGGCUCGACUAGCGCGCGUAGGUCGGGUUGCGGAUGAGGCUCCCGGCCUCCGUACGACAGAUGUUGAUGCACGUCGCGGAGUAGUACUUGACGGAGAGGACGGUCCAAAAAUGAAAACCUAGUCAGGGAGACUUCUGAAUGAAUGGCCUACCACUGUAACUACAGUGGCGAAAGUCAUUAUCGCUUCUUAAUUUCCUAUGGACCCGUUUAGAUCAAUCCCUACGAAACCUCGCACUUCUCUUUUCACUUUUACGACUUAAAACACAUUUUCUUCAAGUCAUAUAAGUCCGCCUCCAUCAGAGAGAGACUAUUCGUUUUGUAUUAUACUAUAAUAAAACGUCAAUUAAAGAACACAAUUGAUAUAUGGAUCUCGUCACAACUAAAUUAUUCAAACGGACGUACGUACAGGUACAACUUAAUCAUGACCUUGUGGUAACGACAUAAAACUAAACACGGUGUACAUCUUGUCUUGUUUAUGUUCAUGUGUUGAGUAGCCUUCGCUAUCAAGUUAAAUAAGUAUACAAGAGGGAAAAGAAGGGGCCUUUGAGAACGCUAAGUGUCUACAGGCACCUGUAAUACAAACACAAUCUUAUGAGACCGUGGGAAUGUCAGAGAAACGUCCUAGACACUACCUUUCGACCGAUGAGUGAUGUCAUUCUACACGAUUGGAUAAAACGGGGUGAUUUUAGUUCCACCUUCCAACCCGAUGAGCGAUGGAAUUCUACGUUAUUGGACAAUAAUAAUAAUAAUAAUACAGGGUCACGUUGUAUAACACAUUACCUCUUCAUGAAACUCGAAAGUAAUGGACAUAAUACGACAGAAUUCUACGCGAUUGGAUAAUCAAGUGUCUUAUCCCUUUGUAUAGAAGACAAAUUCAAUGAAACAAAAUACUUAAUACUAAGUAAUGGACAUAAUACGACAGGGGUAGGUAAACCAUAGUAGGAUUACAUAAAGCACUUAGUACAUGUCCAUUUCGAAUAGUUCACAGAACACCUGUUGUAACAACAACUAUAGAGUAAAUUGGUUCAACCACCUAACACAUGUGAAACAAAGGAACUUGUCCAACUAUUGAACUAGUUAGUUUUGGUAAAUAAGUUCGCCUCAUAGUAUAACCAUUUCCGUACCACAAAGAUGCUCUCAGCAUAAGAACCUCGAGUGGUACCAGAAUAUAGAUGAAUACGUAACCUCUGGGAACAAGACAUGUAUAAAGUACACAAGUUGUUGACAAAAUGACCUGGUGAACUCCACAAUAUGGCAAAGAAUCUUAAGAAAUCGUUGAAACUAACCCUCUUUAAAACAAACUCAAACACCCCCGGUCAAGGAUAUUCAAGUGAAGGUCUAUACUGACGCCUUGGGGGCGCCUACCUGUGACCACUUAACAACGACUGGUUCCGGAAGGACCUAUCUACGUUAGUAGACAUACCUCAAUACGGAGCGUGGGUCCUCUUGGUCCCAGUUGGUAAACAAAGUUUCGUGAAGUUACAAUAACUAGGGAAUGCUCGUUUAUUGUUGGAACCUUCUUCACAGUCAUUUCCGUUAAUGAAAUCUUAUGCGUCACGGAAGAGAAAACCCCGUUUUUCCGACCGUUUCAAUGAGCUUACGGGUUUACUUCUAGACUAACGACUUCAUUUAGUCAAGAAAUGUUUAUGUAACUGUUCUGUACCCUCACCCUUAGCAGGGCUGCGCGGAUGUGGUUUAGACAAAGGAUUUGUACGAGACUUCCAACAGGGACGACUUCGUAGUUUGUCGGUGCUCUUACGUUGUUACGGGUUCUUCUUCUACCUUUUUGGAUUUGAAGCUCGAUUAGUCCCGUCAGAGUGACUUCCAAGAGUGUCGAUACGACUUGGAUAAAGAGUUGUUGGAGUCUCUUCACUAGAUGCGAGAGCCUUAAGUGGUUUCCGUUAAGUAGGACGACAAAGAGUACGUGUCGUGGUUUUUCAAUUGCACUGUGUUGGGUUGUGGUUCCAGAGACUUGGCGAACUUUCCUUGUCCAGACCACCUAGCUACGGUUCACUUUCCCUACCCUCUUACGGUUUACGGGAGAAACAAUUACCGGCUUUACCCGUCUUGUACAGAGGCAAACGUUCUUGGGUCAGAUCAGGACUUGACUGUCUGGGAAGAUAACUUCCUAUAAGAGCACCUUCCGCUUGAUCUCACCAUCUUUACCUCUUCGGACACUUGUUACUAAUGUUAUCAUCUUCCUUAUUGAAUCAAGGUCUUCACGGAUCGUUGGUGUCGUGAUUCAGAAGUGUCCUACUCAGUUACAGAAGGUACUUGUCAAGUAGAGUGGGAUCACGUUUUCGUCGAAGACUUAGUUUAUCACAAAGGUCGUCGAUAGUACUUCUGUUACCAAAGCACUAAUUGCUUCUUGAAGGAAGACAUAGACUCCGUGGCCUCUACGUCGUACUCCUUGUACGAGAUCAAUUAGAUUACCGUAGGCGUUUCAACGUACCAAAGUUACCUGUUCGAGUUAACGGUUACGUUAAUGGAAGAGUAUACAGACAUCGUAGAAACGGGAAUGACGGAGGUUGUCGAAAAGGAGUUUUUGGAAAACGGCCCUAAGGUGGUUGAUCGAAUUAACCCUCGGUCACCAACGUGUUGUACGUCAAAGAGGUUCCUAAACAAGGUGGUGGAUACCGGGUAAUAUGAAUGUUGGGAAGCAAAUGUUGUUUGUGUCUCCUACCAUUACUCUCACUUUUUUCAUGAUGUAGUCUAAGCUUAGAACUAGGACCGUUGUGAGUCAUACUCAUACCAAAAGCCAACAGAUCUUUAAAGUUGGUACUUCCUUCCCUAAGUGUACACGUAGUAAAACUACUGUUGUUGGCAAGGAGAAGUGGAUUACCACAUAGACCGAGGGGGAACCUGUCCGUCUACGUUAUAUGACAACUCCUAUCGUCUCAUCAUCUCCUUUUGAUAUGAUUGUACAAAGUUUUAGUUUGUUCAUCUCUUCAGUCCUCUUUACGGGGGUACUCAUCACCUUUAAACUCUUGAUGUGUUGGGUCAAGAAGGUUUUCGUUUGGAGAAAGUCUCUCAAGCACCCUACUUUCUCGACGUUUUUGUAGUGCUCGAAGCUCCCUGUUUACCCUUUUUUUCGGACGGAAAGGUCGGGGACGGUGUUGGUGUGAGUCGUAUUCAUUCUGACCAACCGUCUGUCCUUUAUCGUCACUGGUAUACGGCUGUCUUCGACUACUUCCGCGGUCCUUACCACAACAUCACGGUCAAUAAUCUGUACUUCGAAGCCUGUAUCAUUGUCCCAGACAGAGCAGUCUAGGUAGUUCUUGGUCAGUUCAUGCCUUACUAAAAUUACGCAGUACCUACGGAUUAGGGUACAAACGUGGAAAAGAAUAACCAAGGAGAGUCGUCUCCGUUCGACUAUUGAGACCUGACUGAAAACAGGGUUGUCCAGGCGGUCAAGGAAAACAACACGAGGGUAAACAAGGACCGUUAUCACUACCUAGACAAGGUGUCAAGCUCCCUUUACUGCCUUAACUAGUCAAAGGACAGUUACAACGACAAGUUUUAAAAUCAAGUGAGUUACUACAAGUGGUUGGACUAUUGUCACGAUGGAGUUGCUGUAGUAGGUCAUGACAUCCAUUAGGUAGAAUGCUAGUGUUCGGACUGUAAAACUUGUCACUGUAACGGUCGGUAACCGUCUUAAAUGUUAUACCUGCUAAGACGGUUCUACGUGCGGGGUACCCAGGACAUAAUAUGGGAAAACGUCACGGAGGUCCCAUGUACGUCCCCGUACAAGGUACCCUACCCGGACCUUCUGGUGGAAGUGGCUUACAGUUGACCUGUGUCUACCACCCAGGACCGGUUUCUCGGAAAGGAUACUACGGAGAUGUCGGACGAAGUCUUUCUCAAUGACGACAAGGAGGCGUGAUACCUCUCGUACGUGGGUCUAUGGCACCACCUUGUCCUUGGAUGAACGGUUUAGGAUUCCAAGGUAAGUCCCUGGCUCUCGCAGGGAGCUCAAGUUCUAUGAAUUCUCCUCCAAUAUUAUCACUGUUCCCACUGUUAUCACUAUUUCUUCCUUCAACCCGUUUGAGUUCUGUUGCUUUAUGUCCGGCGUUGAUACCUGCAUCGGUCAGUCUCUCCAUACCGUACUCCAGACUAUCCGUCUGUUGUCUACUUCCAGUCAAACUGUCCGUCGCGUCUAGGAUAUCUUUACUGAGUGUGUCCGUACUCCGUCCACGAGUUAUGGAACCUGUCCCAGUUAGAGUACCUAGGUGUUUGAGACGAGCGUCUGGUCCCUUAUAGUGGGUACCCCAAAUGAGUAGUGGUAUACGUCACGGUUUACCACAACCACGAAGUCUAAGUGGUAUAAAAUACCAAAUGGGUAUGCUUGGUCGACGUUUAGUGCCAAGAAGGAGACUUGGCGAACUUAAACCAAGUGACCCCGGUUAGAGAUACCGUCUACUACCACUAGAUGGUGUCGGGUGAGCGGUUCAUUACCGGUUACCGAAAAUACCCGUUUCUGUAUGACGUAAAUCCCAAUCAAGGAGAGUAAGUAGAGGACUAGUUGGUAGGAGUGGAGUUGGAGCGUCCAUCGACCUUCCUACGCUAUCGAACCGAGACUAUGACUUGGCUACGUGUGGGAAGUCAAUUAUAAAUCGAGACCACGCUCACUAAUGCAGUAUGCGCUGACGUAUAACAACCUAGUAGACCACGGGUCUCACGCGUACACGGAAAGACCAUUCGUCGACCACCGGUCUAUGGGGUGGUUAUAAAUCAAGCAGGUUUCUCUGUAGUCAGUCGUCGUCCAGUAAAAUGACCGUUCGUCGACUACUAUGAAACUCUACGGAGCCCUUAUAAAUCAAGGUACCUUUCUGCGUAGUCAGUAAAGUUGUACGAAAUGACCCGAAAGACUCUGAUUUCGUCUUAGUGGAAGACUUAUUUGGUACCUUGGCCCUUCUGCUCUUAUAUAGGAGAAUAACUGGGUUUCCUAUACUAGUUCCUUCCCAAUUCGCUCUUACGGUCGGGAGCAUGACGGUAGAGCUAUAGUCUCUGUUCUGACCCUUCAGUAGCCUAAGAUGAUCAUGACGGACCUGUAGAUAGGUCUCGGCUUUCGAUUAUCACUUGAGUACAGUGAACCGUCUUCGUUCUAGUACAUUAGUACAAAAGUGUAUACCUUUUGAAAGUGCAAUCUACAUAAUCCCAAAUUCUUAGAACUUCAACUCAAAGAUCGAAGUUCCUUAUACUAAUAGACAUAAUGAGAAACCGAUUACUUUUCUAGCUAGCUAGCGAAGCAAACUAGUUGAAGGAAAAGUCUACGCGGGAGACACUACCAAAAUAAGUACACGUCAAACUAAAGAC
Molecule: ribosomal RNA, 5621 nt
Filed under: Triticum aestivum (bread wheat)
Lineage: Eukaryota; Viridiplantae; Streptophyta; Magnoliopsida; Poales; Poaceae
Description: partial small subunit ribosomal RNA
Source: RNAcentral